This is a non-coding RNA of Penaeus vannamei (Pacific white shrimp), 1589 nucleotides long. The record is from RefSeq and is a predicted model, not a curated record. NCBI's taxonomy places the organism in Eukaryota, Metazoa, Arthropoda, Malacostraca, Decapoda, Penaeidae.
CAAAUCCUGAACAGUUUACUGAUACUAAAACAGCUUCAGCAACACGUAACAAAUCUACUAGAUGUUUUCCUCCAAAAUUUUCAUCAUGCAAGUAUUUGUCAUCAAGCUCAGAAUCAUACACUACUUUAGAUGUUAUGUAACAGACUGUGGAAGGUUAACACAGGCAUAUCAAGGCAUGUUAAACUCCUACCAUAUCAUUCUAUUAUGAUAUGGCAGCACAAGUGUUCCACUGGACAGGUGUCUCCAUGUUUGAGCAGCUGCAGAUCAGCUGUAGAGCAUCUUCACAGUUUAGGUGGUUAUAACUCAACAUGUUUUCCUGAAUUCCAUACAUAUAACUCCUAUUUUUAUUCUUCUAGUAUAACAGGUGAGUUGAAAGAUUUUUAAAAAUGGCACUUGUUAAUCUAAACUACAAUUUUAAUGAAAGCUGUAGAUAUGAUGACAUUUUUUAGUCCUUUUAGCUCAUAUUGCUAACCAUAGAGGAAUAAUUACUAGUUUCCAUCUUCAGAAUUGGAAUUCAUGGCAUAUAUGCAUUACAUGUAUUCAAUUUACUUUCAAGAGUAAAAUCUGUAAAAGCAAAUUUUCUUGAACCUUGUAUUUUAAGGACCAAAAUACAAAAAGCUUCCCAAUAAUUUUCACACGUAUAACCUGAGAGUCCAGUCCUCCAUACAAUAUCAAGAUAUAAACCAUUUCUUAUCAAAAAUCUUACUCAAGCUGGCCAUUGCCACUUAGUCGCUGUGCAUCACUUAAAGGUUUAUGUAGUCAUAAUGAUACUAAAUACGUAGGUAAAUCAUAAAUCUGAUUUCUCAAAUACGACCAGAUGCUGUAUCAAAUGUUAUAAAUGAAGACUAGAAUGAGUACUUAGUUUUCAAUAUUUUCAUCUUAAAUACCAACUAGGCUUCAACCUGAAUGUCAGAAAUGUGAGUUGAGAGCUUAAACUAAAACAUGCACAAACACUUGCACAGGGUCUGUUAAAACAAUAUCAUUAGAGGAAGCAGUGUUAGGUAGAUAAACGGACAUGUUAAAAUCAAUAUAUGCCUUGAAAAGUUGGUUAAAAAUUUAAAUACUUUAUACUAUGAGAAAAAACAGCUUUUAUGUCCAUAACCAGAACUUCAGUUCAACCUGCCAAUCCGCAGACCAUUCAAAAUGAUCCAGAUUUGACAUGACUUGAUAUUCUGUUCGGUACUUUGCACAGCAUAUUGCAAAGAGCCAUUACACAUCCACUUUUUGUAAGCCAGCAAAGUUACAUUCUGGCUAGAUCUAUGCCACCAUCAAAAUAACUCAUGCAACAGUGACAAAGUCAUUCACAAGUAACACAAUGCUGCAUCAAGAAAAAAAAAAUAAAAAUAAUAACAUCACUGGUCUUAGUGAGUGUUUCUAUUGCAGUUUAUAGCUACGAGCAAUCUGUAACAAGGAUAUGGCUUGCAAGUUCUUUCACUCAUAUUCUUUAUAAGACCUGUAUAUCUGCUGAACACUAUUACACCUAAUAGAUUUUCAGAAAGUGCAAUUUCAGUCAACAGUAUCCUAUUUCUUUGAAUCAUUAAAAAAAAAAAAAAAUCCAUGAAAAAAGUCACACUGUCAACAAAAUAUUU